This 497-nucleotide ribosomal RNA is filed under the name uncultured bacterium. Its description in RNAcentral is "partial 16S ribosomal RNA". It matches the Rfam family "Bacterial small subunit ribosomal RNA", at positions 28 to 507 of the family's 1533-position model. The record is from RNAcentral.
GAUGAACGCUGGCGGCGUGCCUAAUACAUGCAAGUCGAGCGAACAGACGAGGAGCUUGCUCCUCUGACGUUAGCGGCGGACGGGGGAGUAACACGUGGAUAACCUACCUAUAAGACUGGGAUAACUUCGGGAAACCGGAGCUAAUACCGGAUAAUAUAUUGAACCGCAUGGUUCAAUAGUGAAAGACGGUUUUGCUGUCACUUAUAGAUGGAUCCGCGCCGCAUUAGCUAGUUGGUAAGGUAACGGCUUACCAAGGCAACGAUGCGUAGCCGACCUGCGAGGGUGAUCGGCCACACUGGAACUGAGAGACGGUCCAGAAUCCUACGGGAGGCAGCAGUAGGGAAUCUUACGCAAUGGGCGAAAGCCUGACGGAGCAACGCCGCGUGAGUGAUGAAGGUCUUCGGAUCGUAAAACUCUGUUAUUAGGGAAGAACAAAUGUGUAAGUAACUAUGCACGUCUUGACGGUACCUAAUCAGAAAGCAACGGCUAACUACGUG